RNAcentral lists this non-coding RNA (45 nucleotides) under Schistosoma haematobium. Lineage: Eukaryota; Metazoa; Platyhelminthes; Trematoda; Strigeidida; Schistosomatidae. The record is from RNAcentral.
AUCCAGCUGACGAGUCCCCAAUAGGACGAAAUGCGUGUCCCGAAU